RNAcentral lists this long non-coding RNA (1952 nucleotides) under Musa acuminata (dwarf banana). RNAcentral's name for it is "long non-coding RNA (MACU_LNC008483)". Lineage: Eukaryota; Viridiplantae; Streptophyta; Magnoliopsida; Zingiberales; Musaceae. The record is from RNAcentral.
AGCAGACCUGUAGUUAACAUCCACUCAGUCAGGGAAUGUGCUAGAUGUCAAUGACAAUGAAGUAUUAUUGGUGCGGGUAUAAGUGGUGGAUCGAAUGCAAGGGAAGCUAUGAAAGCUAUCCGGCAAGGAAGCAAGCUUGAGUCGAGGUCGGGGUUAACACUUAUAAGAGUGCGGGUAGGGCUUUCCCCUUGUAAUAGAGUUUAGGUCGGGCAGGUACGAAAUACUUGUUAGUCAGGUUGACUUACUUGCUAGUUAGGGUGUGGGUAUGGCUUGGCUUGUGUCAUUCUGUAUUGGUAGUCAGAGGAGAGUCGACUUGCCUAGUGUCUUGGCUGUUGCCAUAGGUAUGGUUAUCGGAGUGAGUUUGUUAGUGUUAGUAGAGGCUUUCAGCACCUUGCUUCUUUUCAUUUCCAUUGGAAUGUUCUGCUUUUCUACAGUACAAAAGCCUUAUGAAUUAGUAUUGGAAAGCUCUUUCCUUUCCUUGCAUUCGGCAUGGUUUUGGGACUUAGGCGGAGCCGUACCUUUACCUUCUUGGGGUUUAGGCCGAUACUCAUGUCUAUCAAUAACAGCAACUGGGGCAAGUGAACUUUAGCUAUGAAUGGAAUCAUGGUGCAAAUGAACUUAUUAACUCAACUCCGAAAUACAUAGACAGCUUAUGUCCUAUGCCUUCUUUAACAGGUAGGGGACUAUAAUCAAUUCAUAAAAAGUCGUUAAGUCACCUUCUUGCUGAGUUUUUCCACCAAGCAGACCUGAGAUAGAAGUCCAACCUUAAACCUAAUUUCACUUCAAGUACUAAAAACAAGUAAGUGGGAUCCCGCCUAGGCAAUUCAAUAGAAAUACAUUAGGUGUUUUCCCUCAUUGACUAUUUUCUUAAAAGGAAAGACAAAAGGGGGUGACAAGACCAGCGCAGCACGCCCGACUGGAAUAUUGACUAUCCCGUAGAACAGAACUGACCUAGUCACUCGUUAAGGAGCUGGUAAUCAUGGAAUAUAGUAUAUGUAGGUUUAGGUCUUCCUAGAGCGAAGCCACAUGUGUUUUAUACGUUCUGAUCCGACAUUAAGAAUGAUUUACUUCACUUCAUCCGCGAGUAAGGAUAGCCCAUUACGAGGUUCCGUUUCAAGGGAACAGUCUCAAGCGCGAGUCAAUCAGUAUCUGGGUGCGAGUGCGGUUAAAAGCGGUUCCAUUAUCUUUUCCGUUCUGGUUUUGUAUCCGAUAUAAGCCGAAUGCAAGUAAGGGUAAGGCGAGAAAUCAAUAAGGGAGUUUCACCUGGAAAGAUAGAGCAGGGUAUAAAGCUUUCACCGCUAAGUCUCAAGAGAGGAUUGAGCUCGAGAAUCAGAAUCCGCUGUUACCCUGUUGAGUGAGACUUUGAUACAGUAAUUUCAUUAUGACUUUUUGCCGAGAAUAAUCCGUAGAAAGAUGAAGUUUCGAGUGGUGGCGAAAAGAAGCUAGUUGAGUAUAGUAUGGGAGAAGAAUCCUGAGAAGAAUGCAAGAUAAGUAGAACAAGCAACGGCUACUAGAAACUCAUAUUCUCACAUUAAACAAGUAACGAACGACUAAACUGUACCUGAAAGAAGCAACAGUGCACUCUCCUUAAAAUCAGCUAGCAAAGGAGCCGGAAUCAAAAAACUCAUUUAUGGUUUCGGGGCGCAAGUCAGCUACAAGCGGUUCUAAAUUAGUUGUCGACUCUAAAUCGGGGUCAGGAUCCGUGCCAAAGUAAGCAGGAAGUCGUUCUUGAUUGAGUAGAAAGAUAAGGAGCAGUGUAUCUACUCGCUUCUAUAUCUUGAAAGUAAGCUAACACAUUAUCCCUUCCACAAAGCCAGGAAAGUCAAAGAAUAGAAUAUAAGAUUGGCACCCAGCUUUCGAUACGGCUGCUACUACUUCACUGCCCUAACUCAGUUGCUUGUUUUGUUCUAAAGCCCUAACUCAGUUGCUUGUUUAGUUCUAGAAUAAGAUAA